CGGCCCCGCCGGCCUGGCGCGCAGUCCGAGCCACUCAGAGAGCCCGGCGGCCGACACCCAGGGGCUCUACAAUUAAUACCCCGCGCCUGCCCGCCGGCCGGGACUCGUGCGCCGGCUGUCGGGGACGGAGGCGCCCGGUCCGCCCUGACGAGCUCGCCACUGGCUCUGCUCCGGCGGCGACGGCGACAGUGGCCCGGGCCGACUCUCCCGGGGACCCCACCUCCCCCAGAGCCAGCUUGGGCAGGGGAUCGUGCCUCCACACCGAGGUCCCUCGCUUGUGUGCGCCCCCGGCCCGGGCCCGGCAGGUGGGCGAGGAGCGCGGGAGCUGCCGAGGCUCGGCAGGAGCGCGCGGAGAAGGUGAGUCCGGGGGUGGGAGGAGUAAGGGUGCGAGUGUGGACGCGCCCCCGGGCAGGUCCUAGAGUUUAGCUCGGGUCCUCAGUGGGCAGCCUGAGGGGGCCAACCUGCUGGAAGAGUUCUCUCGGGCUGCAGAACGAGUUGGACAGCCACACCCCCGGCCGGGAGAGCUGCAGGGAGGCCCUGGCCUCCAGCCCCCCGGGACCCGAGAGCCCCGCAGCCCCGGGGCUGCAGCCGGGAGCUCGACAAAGCCUCUCCCAGCCCUGGGACCCGGAGGGCGUGACUGCCACCACCCUGAGAGCUACUGAGACUCGGGACACAAACUUAGUUUCCACACUAAGUAAAAACCGCCUUUCUGGUAUUUUAAGACAGGACGUGCUUAUGCCGAUUCAUCGCGGUUUCCUCGGGCCACCUCCGAGGACGGGGCUGGACCCGCUGGCCCUGGAGGGGGUCAGCUCCGGGCGUAUAUUCGUGUUCUGCGGCGCGGGGACAGCUCUGGUGCCUCCCCCGGGAGUCGGCCCAGCAUGAUCCUCGCGCACUGACCCUAUUCGGGAAGGGGUGCCCGCGGUGGGAGAGGCGGGGGUGCCAGGGCUUGGCCACUCUCCGUGUCCCCACCCUCUCCACCCGCUCCUCGCCAGGUCCUAGGGUGCUCCCGCCUGGUGGCCCAGCAGAGGGCGCCAGCUCCCGGCCGCCGCGCGGGUCGCGAGGGGAGGGGACGUGCGAGCCUCCAGGUAAGGAGCAAAGUGAAUCAUCCCGAGCGGGGACCCGCUCUCAGCGCGGUGGGAACGAGCGGGGCGUGGCUGCGGCGCUGCUGAGAAGACCGGGCCGCGGGGCCGCUGUCGGUGGGGAGCGGCGAUCGUGCCACUGGGAGGUGUGGAAGAGCCGGGAAGAUUCUGGCUAUAUUGGAGAUUGGUUGCUUUCUAAAACGGAAGGAGAAGCCCAUGAAGAGAUGGUGGAUUCGCAUUGAGUUUUGACUGGCGGAAUAAAAGGUAAUCAUUGAUGGUUUCAGAAUAUAUUUGCAGUACUAUGUGGAG
Molecule: long non-coding RNA, 1388 nt
Filed under: Saimiri boliviensis boliviensis (Bolivian squirrel monkey)
Lineage: Eukaryota; Metazoa; Chordata; Mammalia; Primates; Cebidae
Description: lncRNA (ENSSBOG00000036602.1)
Source: RNAcentral